GGCGGCACGCGGAACCACAGCAUGUUCUCGCGGCGCGCGGUGACGGUCUUGAUGUUCAGCAGGUGCUGCGGGCCCACGUUGGUGGACACCGAGGUGGAGCCCCAGGUGCCGCAGCCCAGGGUGAGGGAGGGGUCCAGGUGGAAGUUGUACAGGUCACCAAUGGCGCCCUGCGGAGGUUGGGAGGGUUGGGAUGAGCGCACAUGUGGGGUUGGAUUGCAGCGACAGUUGGAAGGCAAAGCCCGCGCACCCGUCGCCCAAACGCCCUGGCUGUGUGCUCGCAGUUACAGCCAGACAGC
RNAcentral lists this long non-coding RNA (296 nucleotides) under Chlamydomonas reinhardtii. RNAcentral describes it as "long non-coding RNA (CREI_LNC001398)". The record is from RNAcentral. Lineage: Eukaryota; Viridiplantae; Chlorophyta; Chlorophyceae; Chlamydomonadales; Chlamydomonadaceae.